CGAGCGGUAAGGCCCUUCGGGGUACACGAGCGGCGAACGGGUGAGUAACACGUGGGUAACCUGCCCUGUACUCUGGGAUAAGCCUGGGAAACUAGGUCUAAUACCGGAUACGACCUGUCACCGCAUGGUGGUGGGUGGAAAGUUCCGGCGGUAUGGGAUGGACCCGCGGCCUAUCAGCUUGUUGGUGGGGUAAUGGCCUACCAAGGCGACGACGGGUAGCCGGCCUGAGAGGGUGACCGGCCACACUGGGACUGAGACACGGCCCAGACUCCUACGGGAGGCAGCAGUGGGGAAUAUUGCACAAUGGGCGAAAGCCUGAUGCAGCGACGCCGCGUGAGGGAUGACGGCCUUCGGGUUGUAAACCUCUUUCAGCGGGGACGAAGGGCAACUGACGGUACCCGCAGAAGAAGCACCGGCUAACUACGUGCCAGCAGCCGCGGUAAUACGUAGGGUGCGAGCGUUGUCCGGAAUUAUUGGGCGUAAAGAGCUCGUAGGCGGUUUGUUGCGUCGGCUGUGAAAACUUCACGCUUAACGUGGAGCCUGCAGUCGAUACGGGCAGACUUGAGUUCGGCAGGGGAGACUGGAAUUCCUGGUGUAGCGGUGAAAUGCGCAGAUAUCAGGAGGAACACCGGUGGCGAAGGCGGGUCUCUGGGCCGAUACUGACGCUGAGGAGCGAAAGCGUGGGGAGCGAACAGGAUUAGAUACCCUGGUAGUCCACGCCGUAAACGGU
RNAcentral lists this ribosomal RNA (730 nucleotides) under Saccharothrix sp. KLBMP 4352. Its description in RNAcentral is "bacterial SSU rRNA". It matches the Rfam family "Bacterial small subunit ribosomal RNA", at positions 63 to 810 of the family's 1533-position model. The record is from RNAcentral. Lineage: Bacteria; Bacillati; Actinomycetota; Actinomycetes; Pseudonocardiales; Pseudonocardiaceae.